UUUAUGGAGAGUUUGAUCCUGGCUCAGGAUGAACGCUGGCGGCGUGCCUAAUACAUGCAAGUCGAGCGAACGGACGAGAAGCUUGCUUCUCUGAUGUUAGCGGCGGACGGGUGAGUAACACGUGGAUAACCUACCUAUAAGACUGGGAUAACUUCGGGAAACCGAAGCUAAUACCGGAU
RNAcentral lists this ribosomal RNA (179 nucleotides) under Staphylococcus aureus. Its description in RNAcentral is "partial 16S ribosomal RNA". It matches the Rfam family "Bacterial small subunit ribosomal RNA", at positions 1 to 174 of the family's 1533-position model. The record is from RNAcentral. Lineage: Bacteria; Bacillati; Bacillota; Bacilli; Caryophanales; Staphylococcaceae.